Molecule: ribosomal RNA, 250 nt
Filed under: uncultured bacterium
Lineage: Bacteria
Description: partial 16S ribosomal RNA
Rfam family: Bacterial small subunit ribosomal RNA
Source: RNAcentral
UACGUAGGGGGCGAGCGUUAUCCGGAUUUAUUGGGCGUAAAGGGCGCGUAGGCGGAUUUGUUAGUCGGUUGGGAAAGGUUCGGGCUUAACCCGAAGAGGUCAACCGAGACGGCGAAUCUGGAGGGCAGUAGAGGAAGGUGGAAUUCCGGGUGUAGUGGUGAAAUGCGUAGAGAUCCGGAGGAACACCGGUGGCGAAGGCGGCCUUCUGGGCUGGCCCUGACGCUGAGGCGCGAAAGCGUGGGGAGCGAAC